RNAcentral lists this ribosomal RNA (316 nucleotides) under uncultured bacterium. RNAcentral's name for it is "bacterial SSU rRNA". It matches the Rfam family "Bacterial small subunit ribosomal RNA", at positions 28 to 334 of the family's 1533-position model. The record is from RNAcentral.
GAUGAACGCUGGCGGCGUGCUUAACACAUGCAAGUCGAGCGAAGCGCUUUGAAUUUUUCGGAAUGAGAAGUGACUGAGCGGCGGACGGGUGAGUAACGCGUGGGUAACCUGCCUCAUACAGGGGGAUAACAGUUAGAAAUGACUGCUAAUACCGCAUAAGACCACAGCACCGCGUGGUGCAGGGGUAAAAACUCCGGUGGUAUGAGAUGGACCCGCGUCUGAUUAGCUAGUUGGUGGGGUAACGGCCCACAAAGGCGACGAUCAGUAGCCGGCCUGAGAGGGUGAACGGCCACAUUGGGACUGAGACACGGCCCAG